CCGGCAACCGGCCUCCACUCGGUCGGGGUCCAGCCCGGAGGACAGGAAGGGCGGACCCCCGAUUCUGACACUCUGCACUCGGAGCCUAGAAGCAGGACGAGACGCCAUUUUAAAGUUCAUCCAUGUUUUAUUGAGCGUGAGGUGGCAUGGCGGCCACCAGGUUAGGGGUGGUAAGGCGAUACGUUCCCAAAAGCGGGCGGACGUCCACGGUACCGCCGGUGGAGGAGCGUAACAGUGUGUGAAGGACCUGCAGUGGCAACGCUUUCUGAUUGGAUGACAGGAUCACUGCCGCGAUGCCUAAUCAUAAUUGACACAUCAAAUGGAAAGUUAUGUUUGCAUCUUUUUGGGGAUCUCGCUGAAAUCUGUGGCGACCACUCGUCCUUGCAGCUCCCUGUGAGAACCCCGAACGCUGCCGUCCAUCAGAUAAACCUUCGCCAUGCCGCCGUCAUCUGCAAAGUGCUGCCAGGGUGAGGCUUCAGUAACUUGCGGAGGUUCCAGGGGGCGCUCUGAGCAAAGAUGAAAGAGUCCUCCUCCACGUAUUGGACAUGAGGGAGCUUCAGCACCUGAAGG
Molecule: long non-coding RNA, 570 nt
Organism: Phyllopteryx taeniolatus (common seadragon)
Lineage: Eukaryota; Metazoa; Chordata; Actinopteri; Syngnathiformes; Syngnathidae
Exons: 4
Source: RefSeq, a predicted model, not a curated record